AGGGAAUCUUCCGCAAUGGACGAAAGUCUGACGGAGCAACGCCGCGUGAGUGAUGAAGGUUUUCGGAUCGUAAAGCUCUGUUGCCAGGGAAGAACGUCUUGGAGAGUAACUGCUCUAAGAGUGACGGUACCUGAGAAGAAAGCCCCGGCUAACUACGUGCCAGCAGCCGCGGUAAUACGUAGGGGGCGAGCGUUGUCCGGAAUUAUUGGGCGUAAAGCGCGCGCAGGCGGCUGUUUAAGUCUGGUGGUUAAUCCUGGGGCUCAACCCCGGGUCGCACUGGAAACUGAGCAGCUUGAGUGCAGAAGAGGAGAGUGGAAUUCCACGUGUAGCGGUGAAAUGCGUAGAGAUGUGGAGGAACACCAGUGGCGAAGGCGACUCUCUGGGCUGUAACUGACGCUGAGGCGCGAAAGCGUGGGGAGCAAAC
This 424-nucleotide ribosomal RNA is filed under the name uncultured bacterium. Its description in RNAcentral is "bacterial SSU rRNA". It matches the Rfam family "Bacterial small subunit ribosomal RNA", at positions 356 to 773 of the family's 1533-position model. The record is from RNAcentral.